RNAcentral lists this ribosomal RNA (533 nucleotides) under Gyiophis vorisi (Voris' mud snake). Its description in RNAcentral is "partial large subunit ribosomal RNA". It matches the Rfam family "Bacterial large subunit ribosomal RNA", at positions 1807 to 2608 of the family's 2925-position model. Lineage: Eukaryota; Metazoa; Chordata; Lepidosauria; Squamata; Homalopsidae. The record is from RNAcentral.
UCAAAAACAUUAACCUUUAGCCACAAACAAGUAUUAAAAGGGCAAACGCCUGCCCCAGUGAACAANUUAAACGGCCGCGGUACCCNUAACCGUGCAAAGGUAGCGAAAUCAUUUGUCUAUUAAUUGUAGACCUGUAUGAAAGGCAUAAUGAGGGNCCUAACUGUCUCUUAUAAUCAAUCAAUUAAACUGAUCUUUUAGUACAAAAGCUAAAAUACCAACAUAAGACCAGAAGACCCUGUGAAGCUUUAACUAACUUAUUAAACCCAAUGAUAACUACUUUCGGUUGGGGCGACCUUGGAAAAAAAAGAAACUUCCAAACAUGACUAAAACUCACAAAUAGGCCUACAAGCCGACAACGACCCAGCAUAGCUGAUAAUCGAACCAAGUUACUCCAGGGAUAACAGCGCUAUCUUCUUCAAGAGCCCAUAUCAAAAAGAAGGUUUACGACCUCGAUGUUGGAUCAGGACAUCCUAAUGGUGCAGCAGCUAUUAAGGGUUCGUUUGUUCAACGAUUAACAGUCCCACGUGAUCUGA